Weissella ceti is the source of this 364-nucleotide non-coding RNA. It matches the Rfam family "transfer-messenger RNA". From Rfam's summary of the family: Bacterial tmRNA, also known as 10Sa RNA or SsrA, is named for its dual tRNA and mRNA-like properties. NCBI's taxonomy places the organism in Bacteria, Bacillati, Bacillota, Bacilli, Lactobacillales, Lactobacillaceae. The record is from Rfam.
GGGGUCGUUUUGGAAUCGACUAGUAUUGUUCGAGCUAGUAUUGCGUUUAGGGGUUGUGGCCCUAUAAUCCACUCAGACGAAUUAACUGCAAACAAUUCAAACAACUACGCUGUCGCUGCUUAAAAAACAGCACACGUGAUCAUUCUUAGUUGUGAUUACCGGCUACUGAAUGGUUUUAUAAACUUAGUAAUCUGCGCGUAGCGGCCUCUGAUUGGGGUUUCUACGAAGAGGAUAAUCAAUCUAGUCAUCUGAUCGCCGUGUUACAUGGCGUGCAGCUGAUGAACUUUAAAUGAUGUAACUAUGAACGUAGAAGUAUUAGUGCCGUGAUGCUAGGACAGGGGUUCAAAUCCCCUCGGCUCCAUUU